GAGGGCAUAGCUCAAAUGGUAGAGUGUAUGCUUAGCAUUCAUGAGGUCCUAGGUUCAAACCCCAGCACCUCCA
RNAcentral lists this transfer RNA (73 nucleotides) under Camelus bactrianus (Bactrian camel). It matches the Rfam family "tRNA". Rfam says of the family: Transfer RNA (tRNA) molecules are approximately 80 nucleotides in length. Their secondary structure includes four short double-helical elements and three loops (D, anti-codon, and T loops). The record is from Rfam by way of RNAcentral. RNAcentral also lists the same sequence under 1 other name. Lineage: Eukaryota; Metazoa; Chordata; Mammalia; Artiodactyla; Camelidae.